CCUACGGGUGGCAGCAGUGAGGAAUAUUGGUCAAUGGACGCAACGCUGAACCAGCCAAGUCGCGUGCAGGAUGAAGGAUCUAUGGUUUGUAAACUUCUUUUAUAGGGGAAUAAAGGUAUCCACGUGUGGAUUUUUGCAUGUACCCUAUGAAUAAGCACCGGCUAACUCCGUGCCAGCAGCCGCGGUAAUACGGAGGAUGCGAGCGUUAUCCGGAUUUAUUGGGUUUAAAGGGAGCGUAGGCUGUUCUUUAAGUGUGCGGUGAAAGUCUGUGGCUCAACCAUAGCAUUGCAGUGGAAACUGGAGGGCUUGAGUGUGUUUGAGGUAGGCGGAAUGCGUGGUGUAGCGGUGAAAUGCAUAGAUAUCACGCAGAACUCCGAUUGCGAAGGCAGCUUACUAAGGCGUAACUGACACUGAGGCACGAAAGCGUGGGGAUCAAACAGGAUUAGAUACCCUUGUAGUC
Molecule: ribosomal RNA, 460 nt
Filed under: uncultured bacterium
Lineage: Bacteria
Description: partial 16S ribosomal RNA
Rfam family: Bacterial small subunit ribosomal RNA
Source: RNAcentral